CUAAUCUUUGAGAGAUAAUCCCAUCAAGCGGUAAUGCCUCCAAUAGUAUUGGCAGUUGUUUUUUAGUAAAAUUUUUUGGAACUGCAUCGUAAAGAUUUUAGGGGGCAUAGCUCAGCUGGGAGAGCACCUGCUUUGCAAGCAGGGGGUCGUCGGUUCGAUCCCGUCUGCCUCCACCAAUUAUUUAGAUUAUAUUGUUGUUAGCCAAAAGGCUUUAAUUGAAUAUUGAUUGAAGUUUUUUGAAUGGCAGCAAUGUCAAGAAUUUUAUGUUCUUUAACAAUUUGGAAGAAGAAAUAAUACAACAGAAGCGCGUUAGAGAUGGCGUGUGGAAAUUGUAUGGGUUGUGAUUGUAUCAAAUGUAUUAAAAGUAAUCGAAAGAUAACUUGGAAUACGGCACAACGCAAAAACUCAACCUAUUUCGAGUGUGAAUCAUCCUUCUUCAAGGAUUGAGGAAGUGAGUCGAAUAGAAUCUUCUAAUCGA
This 478-nucleotide unclassified non-coding RNA is filed under the name Candidatus Pandoraea novymonadis. RNAcentral's name for it is "16S-23S ribosomal RNA intergenic spacer". The stretch from base 101 to 173 matches the Rfam family "tRNA". The record is from RNAcentral. Lineage: Bacteria; Pseudomonadati; Pseudomonadota; Betaproteobacteria; Burkholderiales; Burkholderiaceae.